Molecule: ribosomal RNA, 403 nt
Filed under: uncultured bacterium
Lineage: Bacteria
Description: bacterial SSU rRNA
Rfam family: Bacterial small subunit ribosomal RNA
Source: RNAcentral
UGGGGAAUAUUGCACAAUGGGCGAAAGCCUGAUGCAGCAACGCCGCGUGAGUGAUGAAGGCCUUCGGGUUGUAAAGCUCUGUCUUCUGGGACGAUAAUGACGGUACCAGAGGAGGAAGCCACGGCUAACUACGUGCCAGCAGCCGCGGUAAUACGUAGGUGGCAAGCGUUAUCCGGAUUUAUUGGGUUUAAAGGGUGCGUAGGCGGAAAGAUAAGUCAGCCUGUGAAAGUUUGCGGCUCAACCGUAAAAUUGCAGUUGAUACUGUUUUUCUUGAGUGUACAUAAGGUAGGCGGAAUUCGUGGUGUAGCGGUGAAAUGCUUAGAUAUCACGAAGAACUCCGAUUGCGAAGGCAGCUUACCGGGGUACAACUGACGCUGAUGCACGAAAGUGUGGGUAUCAAACA